Molecule: ribosomal RNA, 1372 nt
Filed under: uncultured bacterium
Lineage: Bacteria
Description: bacterial SSU rRNA
Rfam family: Bacterial small subunit ribosomal RNA
Source: RNAcentral
GAUGAACGCUGGCGGCGUGCCUAAUACAUGCAAGUCGAGCGAACGGACGAGAAGCUUGCUUCUCUGAUGUCAGCGGCGGACGGGUGAGUAACACGUGGAUAACCUACCUAUAAGACUGGGAUAACUUCGGGAAACCGGAGCUAAUACCGGAUAAUAUUUUGAACCGCAUGGUUCAAAAGUAAAAGACGGUCUUGCUGUCACUUAUAGAUGGAUCCGCGCUGCAUUAGCUAGUUGGUAAGGUAACGGCUUACCAAGGCAACGAUGCAUAGCCGACCUGAGAGGGUGAUCGGCCACACUGGAACUGAGACACGGUCCAGACUCCUACGGGAGGCAGCAGUAGGGAAUCUUCCGCAAUGGGCGAAAGCCUGACGGAGCAACGCCGCGUGAGUGAUGAAGGUCUUCGGAUCGUAAAACUCUGUUAUUAGGGAAGAACAUAUGUGUAAGUAACUGUGCACAUCUUGACGGUACCUAAUCAGAAAGCCACGGCUAACUACGUGCCAGCAGCCGCGGUAAUACGUAGGUGGCAAGCGUUAUCCGGAAUUAUUGGGCGUAAAGCGCGCGUAGGCGGUUUUUUAAGUCUGAUGUGAAAGCCCACGGCUCAACCGUGGAGGGUCAUUGGAAACUGGAAAACUUGAGUGCAGAAGAGGAAAGUGGAAUUCCAUGUGUAGCGGUGAAAUGCGCAGAGAUAUGGAGGAACACCAGUGGCGAAGGCGACUUUCUGGUCUGUAACUGACGCUGAUGUGCGAAAGCGUGGGGAUCAAACAGGAUUAGAUACCCUGGUAGUCCACGCCGUAAACGAUGAGUGCUAAGUGUUAGGGGGUUUCCGCCCCUUAGUGCCGCAGCUAACGCAUUAAGCACUCCGCCUGGGGAGUACGACCGCAAGGUUGAAACUCAAAGGAAUUGACGGGGACCCGCACAAGCGGUGGAGCAUGUGGUUUAAUUCGAAGCAACGCGAAGAACCUUACCAAAUCUUGACAUCCUUUGACAACUCUAGAGAUAGAGCCUUCCCCUUCGGGGGACAAAGUGACAGGUGGUGCAUGGUUGUCGUCAGCUCGUGUCGUGAGAUGUUGGGUUAAGUCCCGCAACGAGCGCAACCCUUAAGCUUAGUUGCCAUCAUUAAGUUGGGCACUCUAAGUUGACUGCCGGUGACAAACCGGAGGAAGGUGGGGAUGACGUCAAAUCAUCAUGCCCCUUAUGAUUUGGGCUACACACGUGCUACAAUGGACAAUACAAAGGGCAGCGAAACCGCGAGGUCAAGCAAAUCCCAUAAAGUUGUUCUCAGUUCGGAUUGUAGUCUGCAACUCGACUACAUGAAGCUGGAAUCGCUAGUAAUCGUAGAUCAGCAUGCUACGGUGAAUACGUUCCCGGGCCU